UCCCUGGUGGCCCAGCAGGUUAAGGAUUCUGCACUGUCACUGCUGUGGCACAGGUUCAAUCCCUGGCCAGGGAA
RNAcentral lists this transfer RNA (74 nucleotides) under Sus scrofa (pig). It matches the Rfam family "tRNA". Rfam says of the family: Transfer RNA (tRNA) molecules are approximately 80 nucleotides in length. Lineage: Eukaryota; Metazoa; Chordata; Mammalia; Artiodactyla; Suidae. The record is from Rfam by way of RNAcentral.